Molecule: ribosomal RNA, 497 nt
Filed under: uncultured bacterium
Lineage: Bacteria
Description: partial 16S ribosomal RNA
Rfam family: Bacterial small subunit ribosomal RNA
Source: RNAcentral
GAUGAACGCUGGCGGCGUGCCUAAUACAUGCAAGUCGAGCGAACAGACGAGGAGCUUGCUCCUCUGACGUUAGCGGCGGACGGGUGGGUAACACGUGGAUAACCUACCUAUAAGACUGGGAUAACUUCGGGACACCGGAGCUAAUACCGGAUAAUAUAUUGAACCGCAUGGUUCAAUAGUGAAAGACGGUUUUGCUGUCACUUAUAGGUGGAUCCGCGCCGCAUUAGCUAGUUGGUAAGGUAACGGCUUACCAAGGCAACGAUGCGUAGCCGACCUGAGAGGGGGGUCGGCCACACGAGAACUGGGACACGGUCCAGACUCCUACGGGAGGCAGCAGUAGGGAAUCUUCCGCAAUGGGCGAAAGCCUGACGGAGCGACGCCGCGUGAGUGAUGAAGGUCUUCGGAUCGUAAAACUCUGUUAUUAGGGAAGAACAGAUGUGUAAGUAACUAUGCACGGCUUGACGGUACCUAAUCAGAAAGCCACGGCUAACUACGUG